Bolinopsis microptera is the source of this 461-nucleotide long non-coding RNA. RefSeq lists it as uncharacterized. The record is from RefSeq and is a predicted model, not a curated record. Lineage: Eukaryota; Metazoa; Ctenophora; Tentaculata; Lobata; Bolinopsidae. The transcript is spliced from 4 exons.
AAUCCAGGAACGAGCCUCAUGAUAUUGUAACGAAGAUCUUGAGAAAAGACACAGACCUCCGCCACUACUCUUACUCAGUAGGAACGAACGUUUCAACUGAAAAAACAAAAUGUGAACCCUUUGUAAACCUUUUUAGGCAGCUGUGAAUAAAUCCAGGAACGAGCCUCAUGAUAUUGAAACGAAGAUCACGCGAAAAGACACAGACCUCCGCCACUGUGAGAUACUGCUGUAACCAGACAUUAUAAGCUAAUAAAUCCAGGAAUGAGCCUCAUGAUAUUGUAACGAAGAUCACGCGAAAAGACACAUACCUCCGCCACUGUGAGAUACUGCUGUAACCAGAUAUUUUAAGCUAUCUUAAUGAACAAUUUGACUAGUAAUAGUAUCAACCUACCACUGAAGAUGGUAAACAUUGUACGACGUAUACCGAACAGUAGAACCGGUGUCCCUUUUAACAUUUUAAG